The sequence is a transfer RNA, 84 nucleotides long. It matches the Rfam family "tRNA". Rfam says of the family: Transfer RNA (tRNA) molecules are approximately 80 nucleotides in length. Their secondary structure includes four short double-helical elements and three loops (D, anti-codon, and T loops). The record is from Rfam.
GGUCGGGUGGCGCAACGGUAGCGUGUGGUCCUCCUAUUAGAAGGAAUCAGACUGAGGUUGUGGGUUCGAGUCCCACCUCGAUCG